RNAcentral lists this ribosomal RNA (915 nucleotides) under Pseudomonas sp. 59(2010). RNAcentral's name for it is "bacterial SSU rRNA". It matches the Rfam family "Bacterial small subunit ribosomal RNA", at positions 62 to 976 of the family's 1533-position model. Lineage: Bacteria; Pseudomonadati; Pseudomonadota; Gammaproteobacteria; Pseudomonadales; Pseudomonadaceae. The record is from RNAcentral.
UCGAGCGGAUGAAGGGAGCUUGCUCCUGGAUUCAGCGGCGGACGGGUGAGUAAUGCCUAGGAAUCUGCCUGGUAGUGGGGGAUAACGUCCGGAAACGGGCGCUAAUACCGCAUACGUCCUGAGGGAGAAAGUGGGGGAUCUUCGGACCUCACGCUAUCAGAUGAGCCUAGGUCGGAUUAGCUAGUUGGUGGGGUAAAGGCCUACCAAGGCGACGAUCCGUAACUGGUCUGAGAGGAUGAUCAGUCACACUGGAACUGAGACACGGUCCAGACUCCUACGGGAGGCAGCAGUGGGGAAUAUUGGACAAUGGGCGAAAGCCUGAUCCAGCCAUGCCGCGUGUGUGAAGAAGGUCUUCGGAUUGUAAAGCACUUUAAGUUGGGAGGAAGGGCAGUAAGUUAAUACCUUGCUGUUUUGACGUUACCAACAGAAUAAGCACCGGCUAACUUCGUGCCAGCAGCCGCGGUAAUACGAAGGGUGCAAGCGUUAAUCGGAAUUACUGGGCGUAAAGCGCGCGUAGGUGGUUCAGCAAGUUGGAUGUGAAAUCCCCGGGCUCAACCUGGGAACUGCAUCCAAAACUACUGAGCUAGAGUACGGUAGAGGGUGGUGGAAUUUCCUGUGUAGCGGUGAAAUGCGUAGAUAUAGGAAGGAACACCAGUGGCGAAGGCGACCACCUGGACUGAUACUGACACUGAGGUGCGAAAGCGUGGGGAGCAAACAGGAUUAGAUACCCUGGUAGUCCACGCCGUAAACGAUGUCGACUAGCCGUUGGGAUCCUUGAGAUCUUAGUGGCGCAGCUAACGCGAUAAGUCGACCGCCUGGGGAGUACGGCCGCAAGGUUAAAACUCAAAUGAAUUGACGGGGGCCCGCACAAGCGGUGGAGCAUGUGGUUUAUUCGAGCACGCGAGAACCUUACCU